This 263-nucleotide unclassified non-coding RNA is filed under the name Hevea brasiliensis (rubber tree). The record is from RNAcentral. Lineage: Eukaryota; Viridiplantae; Streptophyta; Magnoliopsida; Malpighiales; Euphorbiaceae.
AUUGACGUAUUUUACAAAUGGAUAUUUCUUAUAUUCUUUUAGGUCGCCUUUGGCUUUAUGAGCAUGAUGUGCUUUAACCAUGGCAAGGACAAAACCUAUGUGUUCAAGUUUAAGGAGAAGAAAAUUAUUUUCACACUUGCCAAAUCUUCCCAAAUGAAAACAAAGCCUAAGUCUUCACCUAAGGCUCAAAAGAAAAUUACCAUCUUGAAUCACAUAGCUUGUGAAAGGGUAGGGAGGCAAAGUAGGUUUUGCUUAGCUGUGAU